RNAcentral lists this ribosomal RNA (431 nucleotides) under uncultured bacterium. RNAcentral describes it as "partial 16S ribosomal RNA". It matches the Rfam family "Bacterial small subunit ribosomal RNA", at positions 29 to 505 of the family's 1533-position model. The record is from RNAcentral.
AACGAACGCUGGCGGCAUGCCUAACACAUGCAAGUCGAACGAGACCUUCGGGUCUAGUGGCGCACGGGUGCGUAACGCGUGGGAACCUGCCCUUAGGUUCGGAAUAACUCCCCGAAAGGGGUGCUAAUACCGGAUAAUGUCUUCGGACCAAAGAUUUAUCGCCUUUGGAUGGGCCCGCGUUGGAUUAGCUAGUUGGUAGGGUAAAAGCCUACCAAGGCGACGAUCCAUAGCUGGUCUGAGAGGAUGAUCAGCCACACUGGGACUGAGACACGGCCCAGACUCCUACGGGAGGCAGCAGUGGGGAAUAUUGGACAAUGGGCGAAAGCCUGAUCCAGCAAUGCCGCGUGAGUGAUGAAGGCCUUAGGGUUGUAAAGCUCUUUUACCCGGGAUGAUAAUGACAGUACCGGGAGAAUAAGCUCCGGCCAACUCCG